GGGUCCGUGGCUCAAUGAUCAGAGUUUUGGACUGCUGAUCCACAGGUCGCGGAUUCA
RNAcentral lists this transfer RNA (57 nucleotides) under Schistocephalus solidus. It matches the Rfam family "tRNA", at positions 1 to 55 of the family's 71-position model. Rfam says of the family: Transfer RNA (tRNA) molecules are approximately 80 nucleotides in length. Lineage: Eukaryota; Metazoa; Platyhelminthes; Cestoda; Diphyllobothriidea; Diphyllobothriidae. The record is from Rfam by way of RNAcentral.